RNAcentral lists this ribosomal RNA (497 nucleotides) under uncultured bacterium. RNAcentral describes it as "partial 16S ribosomal RNA". It matches the Rfam family "Bacterial small subunit ribosomal RNA", at positions 28 to 507 of the family's 1533-position model. The record is from RNAcentral.
GAUGAACGCUGGCGGCGUGCCUAAUACAUGCAAGUCGAGCGAACAGACGAGGAGCUUGCUCCUCUGACGUUAGCGGCGGACGGGUGAGUAACACGUGGAUAACCUCCCUAUAAGACUGGGAUAACUUCGGGAAACCGGAGCUAAUACCGGAUAACAUGUUGAACCGCAUGGUUCAACAGUGAAAGACGGUCUUGCUGUCACUUAUAGAUGGAUCCGCGCCGCAUUAGCUAGUAGGUAAGGUAACGGCUUACCAAGGCAACGAGGCGUAGCCGACCUGAGAGGGUGAUCGGCCACACUGGAGCGUGGACACGGACCAGACGCCUACGGGAGGCAGCAGUAGGGAAUCUUCCGCAAUGGGCGAAAGCCUGACGCAGCAACGCCGCGUGAGUGAAGAAGGUCUUCGGAGCGUAAAACUCUGUUAUUAGGGAAGAACAAAUGUGUAAGUAACUAUGCACGGCUUGACGGUACCUAAUCAGAAAGCCACGGCUAACUACGUG